GACAGAGGGUGCUAGCGUUAUUCGGAAUUACUGGGCGUAAAGGGCGCGUAGGCGGUUUUGCAAGUCGUUCAUUAAAGACCAAGUCUCAAGCUUGGAAGUGUGUUCGAUACUGCAUUACUGGAGUAUAGGAGAGGUAAGUGGAAUUUCUAGUGGAGAGGUAAAAUUCGUAGAUAUUAGAAGGAACACCGAGGGCGAAGGCAGCUUACUGGAAUAUUACUGACGCUGAGGCGCGAAAGCGUGGGGAGCAAACAGG
This 253-nucleotide ribosomal RNA is filed under the name uncultured bacterium. Its description in RNAcentral is "partial 16S ribosomal RNA". It matches the Rfam family "Bacterial small subunit ribosomal RNA", at positions 524 to 776 of the family's 1533-position model. The record is from RNAcentral.